GCUGGCGUAGCUCAGGGGUAGAGCAGCUGAUUUGUAAUCAGCAGGUCGGAGGUUCGAAUCCUCUCGCCAGCUCCA
This 75-nucleotide transfer RNA is filed under the name Acidobacteriota bacterium. Its description in RNAcentral is "Acidobacteria bacterium tRNA-Thr". It matches the Rfam family "tRNA". From Rfam's summary of the family: Transfer RNA (tRNA) molecules are approximately 80 nucleotides in length. Their secondary structure includes four short double-helical elements and three loops (D, anti-codon, and T loops). Further hydrogen bonds mediate the characteristic L-shaped molecular structure. tRNAs have two regions of fundamental functional importance: the anti-codon, which is responsible for specific mRNA codon recognition, and the 3' end, to which the tRNAs corresponding amino acid is attached (by aminoacyl-tRNA synthetases). tRNAs cope with the degeneracy of the genetic code in two manners: having more than one tRNA (with a specific anti-codon) for a particular amino acid; and 'wobble' base-pairing, i.e. permitting non-standard base-pairing at the 3rd anti-codon position. RNAcentral also lists the same sequence under 1 other name. The record is from RNAcentral. Lineage: Bacteria; Pseudomonadati; Acidobacteriota.